Molecule: ribosomal RNA, 433 nt
Filed under: uncultured bacterium
Lineage: Bacteria
Description: bacterial SSU rRNA
Rfam family: Bacterial small subunit ribosomal RNA
Source: RNAcentral
AACGAACGCUGGCGGCAUGCCUAACACAUGCAAGUCGAACGAGACCUUCGGGUCUAGUGGCGCACGGGUGCGUAACGCGUGGGAAUCUGCCCCUUGGUUCGGAAUAACAGUUAGAAAUGACUGCUAAUACCGGAUGAUGACGAAAGUCCAAAGAUUUAUCGCCGAGGGAUGAGCCCGCGUAGGAUUAGCUAGUUGGUGAGGUAAAGGCUCACCAAGGCGACGAUCCUUAGCUGGUCUGAGAGGAUGAUCAGCCACACUGGGACUGAGACACGGCCCAGACUCCUACGGGAGGCAGCAGUGGGGAAUAUUGGACAAUGGGCGAAAGCCUGAUCCAGCAAUGCCGCGUGAGUGAUGAAGGCCUUAGGGUCGUAAAGCUCUUUUACCAGGGAUGAUAAUGACAGUACCUGGAGAAUAAGCUCCGGCUAACUCCGUG